AAGUCGUAACAAGGUUUCCGUAGGUGAACCUGCGGAAGGAUCAUUAUUGGAAUAAUUUUUUAUUCUAACCAACACUGUGUGAACCUUUUAACUUGGCAUGUUCCUUGGACAAGUCUGUCUUUUGAUGGAAGACGUCCGAGGCCUCUUGGGGAUCACAAUGAGUUUAGUGAGCUUGAUUAGUAAAAGACCCUCACGGGACAAGUAACUGGUCAAAGGAACUCUAUUCGUUGCCUCACUGGGUGAUGUGUAGUCUGUUGAUCGCAAGAUUGGCCUUUACACUGUCAGGCGUGCUAAUGCUUUAUAGACGUGAGUGACGCUUUUUAGUUUUCAUACAUUGCCUUAGUCAAAUUAAAAACAUUAGCUUUCGAGUUAGUGUGUAAUAAAUUUUAGACAACCUUUAACAAUGGAUCUCUUGGUUCCU
This 421-nucleotide unclassified non-coding RNA is filed under the name fungal sp. Its description in RNAcentral is "partial internal transcribed spacer region". The stretch from base 1 to 46 matches the Rfam family "Eukaryotic small subunit ribosomal RNA", at positions 1786 to 1831 of the family's 1831-position model. Lineage: Eukaryota; Fungi. The record is from RNAcentral.